RNAcentral lists this ribosomal RNA (253 nucleotides) under uncultured bacterium. RNAcentral describes it as "partial 16S ribosomal RNA". It matches the Rfam family "Bacterial small subunit ribosomal RNA", at positions 524 to 776 of the family's 1533-position model. The record is from RNAcentral.
GACAGAGGGUGCAAACGUUGUUCGGAAUUACUGGGCGUAAAGCGUGUGUAGGCGGCUACAUAAGUCGGAUGUGAAAGCCCCGGGCUCAACCCGGGAAGUGCACUCGAUACUGCGUAGCUUGAGUCUCGGAGAGGUUGGUGGAAUUCUCGGUGUAGAGGUGAAAUUCGUAGAUAUCGAGAGGAACACCGGUGGCGAAGGCGGGACUCUGGGCCGAUACUGACGCUGAGGAGCGAAAGCGUGGGGAGCGAACAGG